This 484-nucleotide ribosomal RNA is filed under the name uncultured bacterium. RNAcentral describes it as "partial 16S ribosomal RNA". It matches the Rfam family "Bacterial small subunit ribosomal RNA", at positions 28 to 523 of the family's 1533-position model. The record is from RNAcentral.
GACGAACGCUGGCGGCGUGCUUAACACAUGCAAGUCGAACGAUGAUGCUGGAGCUUGCUCCAGUUGAUUAGUGGCGAACGGGUGAGUAACACGUGAGCAAUCUGCCCUUGACUCUGGGAUAACUGCGGGAAACUGUAGCUAAUACCGGAUACUUUCACCGGAAGGCAUCUUCUGGUGAUGAAAGAAUUUCGGUCAGGGAUGAGCUCGCGGCCUAUCAGCUUGUUGGUGAGGUAACGGCUCACCAAGGCGACGACGGGUAACCGGCCUGAGAGGGUGACCGGUCACACUGGGACUGAGACACGGCCCAGACUCCUACGGGAGGCAGCAGUGGGGAAUAUUGCACAAUGGGCGCAAGCCUGAUGCAGCAACGCCGCGUGAGGGAUGAAGGCCUUCGGGUUGUAAACCUCUUUUAGCAGGGAAGAAGCGAAAGUGACGGUACCUGCAGAAAAAGCACCGGCUAACUACGUGCCAGCAGCCGCCGCAG